AUACCCUGAGGUGAGGUAAUGAAUAAAAAUCUGUUUCCCUUUUUGUUGCCAUUAAAGGCAUGUUGACAGUAGAGAAAAAAAUUUGAACUCUUGCAAUUCUUAAAGUGCUUUAUGAAAGCAAUUAUCCACCUCGAGUUUCUCCACUAUUUCUGCUGAUCUUCAGCAAGUCCUUUUUAAUAAAAUGUGAGGAUCAUUUCCUGUCACUAUUGGGCUUUGAAGUUUGAUCUCCCCAAAAAGAUGACUGUCCUUUGUUAACUGGCCAUGCGUGGUGGCCUGUACCUUGUGGGAUCUGGAUGUUGAUCAGUAGUGAAGAUUUUUCUAUUUUAAUUCCAGCAGAAGAAACUUGCAAUCAGAACCCAAGGCAUAAUUCUUCCCUUUUGGGUGGGUGCCAGCCACAUGUCCUCUUACCGUCCCCUAGCAUGCGUCUAGCUGAAGAAGAAACAGUUCCCUGGGUGCUCUGCCUGCUGAGUGUUGGUGAAGCGCUGUGUUAAGAGUUCCCUGGGAAGGAGUCUUGUUGACCCUUGCAGGUUGCUUCUGACCAAUGGUAAGCUGACCCUUAGCAGCUGUGACAUAAGAAAGGUUAUUUUUUACACCAUUCACCCUGAUUCCCAUCAAGUCACAGCUUCCAUGUUCAGACAUUCAGUCUUGAUUUAGUGUUCUCCAUGACACACCCUCUCCACAAACUUACAUUCUGGAAAGGAUGUUAUUAAUAUGUUAAUGUAAAUUUAAGUUAAUGUCUUCUCUCUCUCAGGGAUAUGUGCAUUUCAAACCGUUCUUCUUAUGGAGUGAUAGCACCAGCUGACAGCAGAGGUACCGGGGGCCCUUCUGGAAAUUACAUCAUGUUAAACUAUCUCCCAGCAUGUCUUUUACGGUCUUAGCCUCUGGUCUCAUCUCCAGCACACCCCUCCUACCACUUUCUCUCAUUCAUUUAUUCAGCUAAUAUUUAUAGAGCUCCAGUAUGUGUCAUGUGUCAGGUACACAGGCGCACCACAGUAAGCUAGAGAAACACUCAGUGUCUACUGUCAUGGACUUUGUAGUUGAAUGAGAGACCCUGUCAAAUAAUCAUCCAAGUGAAUGUCAAGUUAUAACUGUGGUCGGUGCCACAAAGAGGAGAACAGUGCUGUGUGGAUGUCGUAGAGGACUUAGCCAGGAGGCCCAGGAGAGAUUCCCUGAGAAAGUUUGACUGAGCUGAGUGGGAGCUAACAAAACAAAAGGAAUGGACGGUAGGAUGGAUUGGUCUCCCAGGACUGCCAUAAUAAAGUAGCAAAAAUUUGGUUGCUGAAAACAUCAGAAAUGUACUGUCUCAUAGUUCUGGAGGCUCUAAGUCCGAAGUCAAGGUUUCAGCAGGGCCGUGUUCUCUCUGAGGGCUCUAUAGGGGAGUACUUCCUUGCCUCUUCUAGCUUCUGGUGUUUGCUGGCGACCCUGGGGGUUCCUUGGCUCGUAGAUGCACCACUUGAGGUACAUGGCUGUCUUCUCUCUUUGUGUCUUCACGUUACCUUCCCUCUGUACGUGUCUGUCUCUGUGCCCAAAUGGUCUCUCUGUAAUAAGAACAUCAGUCAUCUUGAAUUAGGACCCACCCUACUUACCUCAUUUUAACUUAAUUACCUAUGUAAAUACCCUGUCUUGCAACAGGAUCACAUUCUGAGCUACUAGGGGUUAGAACUUCCACAUAUCUUUUUUGGGGCCACAAUUCAACCCAUAACAAGACAAGGAAGAGAGGAGGAGUGUUCUAGGUGGGGGAAAUAGCACAUGCCAUGGUCCUUUGGUGUAAGGAAGCAUGGCUUCUCUGGAGUAGAGAGGGAGGGGGCACACGUGUGAGAGAAAGCUAAAACAGAAGUAAAGAUUAGUAAUUAGGCCUACAUUAGGAAUUUUGGUCAUAAUAUAAAAACAAUGAAAUGUUACUGGUGAAUUUCAGCAGGAAUAAGAUGUGAUCAGAUUUGCUCUUUGAAAAAAAAUCACCCUGGCUACAGUAUGCAGAAUGAGUUCAUGACAGCAAGAAUGGAGGCAGGUGUGCUGGUUAGGAAGCUCCUGCAAUAGAGCAGGUGAGAGAGGAGGGGACAUAGAGGGAAUUGGUCAUAGGAAGUAAAAUUAGUGAGCCUUGAUGAUAAACUGGAUGUGGCACGGAGGAAGGAAUGGUCAGGGAUGAUCUGUUUCUAGAUUUCUGUCUCAUUUGCCUAAAUGCAUGUAGGGGGCACUGAGCACGAACCAGGUUAGGGGCAAAAUGAGCUCAGUUUGGAGAUGCGAGGCUUGGGGUGCUCCUCGUGGAAUUGUCAGGUAAGCAUUGGGAGACCUGAAGCUUAGAGGAAAGGUCCCAGCUGAAGAUGAAAACUAGAAUCAUUGGCGUGUAAGUGAUAAUGGAAGGCGUGCACGCUGGAUGAGAGCACCUACAGAGAAAAGGGAAGAGGGUCUAGGGCAAGAGCAGAAAAUGGGCCCACAAAGGAGAUUGAGGCAGAGCAGCCAGAGAGAGAAAAGGACAACCAGGAGAGUGUGGCUUCACAGAAGCCAGGGGAAGAGGAAGUGGUCAGAUACAGCUGAGAGAUCCAAAGAAUGUCCAUUGGAUGUAGCAACAUGGAAGUGAUUGGUAACCUUACGGAAAGAUGCUUUAGUGUGGUGAAAUGGGAGGCAGCCAGUCUGGAGGGGCUUGAAGGGUGAGAGGAAGGUAAUCAGGACAGUUUGUACAGACAUGGCCGCUUUCCAGAAGGUUGGCUGUGAAACUGGAGGAAAUGGUUGCUGGAAGUGGAGCGUAGGGCUGUCUUAGCUCAGGCUGCUGUAACAAAGUGCCAUAGAUGGAGGGGGCUUAAAUGACAGGCAUUUAUUUUCUCACAGUGUGGAGGUGGAAAGUCUAAGAUCAUGGUGUCAGUGUGGUUGAUUUCUUGUGCGAGCUCUCUUUGUGGCUUGUAGUGGUCGUCUUUCCACUGUGUCCUUGCAUGGUGGGAAGUGAGAGAGAGGUUAAGUUUUCUGGCGUCUCUUCGUUUAAGGGCACUAGUCUUAUCAUAAGGGCCCCACCUCCUCUAAAGUUAGUCCCCUUCCAAAGGUCCCAUCUCCAAAUACCAUCUCAUUGGGGGUUAGGGCUUUAAUAUAUGCAUUUUGGGGGAACAAAAUUUAGUCCAGAACAGGAGAGGGUGGCUGGUAUUUUUUGUUUGUUUUUGGCUGGUGUUUUUUCAGUAGGAGGGACUUCAGCAUGCUAAAAGUUGCAAUUGAGGGGUAAAGAUUAAAUAUUUGAGUGAGAGAAGGGUAACUGAAGGCAUGCAGCAAGAGGAGAAUAGAGAAAACGGCCUUAGAAGAAGAGAUGCUCUCUCACUUAACAGGACUCUAGGAUUUUGUCCUCUGAGGGAUAACAGCAGGGGUGUGGAAUUGCACAGAACCACCUCACCUGUGAGUGUUCUCAACUGUCAGGAUCUCUCUCCUUAGGUUUAUUGCUGCCUCAACCUGCUGCAUAGAAGAGGAGCAAACUGUCAGUGUCUCGAUAUUUUAAUACAUUUCAAGUGUCAAAGAAAAUCAUUUUUUACCUUUUCUCACCCCUGGGUAGGGGUAGGGUGGGAAGCGGGAAAUAAAGUGAUGUUUUCUAGGAAAAGAUCUGUAAAAGAUGGUGGUGGUGGUGGCAGUGGUGUUUUUCUCAUAAUCACGGCUUCUGUGCUCCCCUCCCUCCUGUGUACUUCCUCCAUCAACAGGAAUCAGCAUCUGAGGAGCAGGGGCCCUUGGAGUGCUCUUCUAUGACACCUGACAGAUAGCGGAACCUACCGUCUUCCCUUUCUGGGGCUCCCCUCACACCAGUCCUCUCUCAGAUGACCCUUGGAACUGGGCUGAUGCUGCAGGCCAGGGCAGCCCCUGGCAGUGGAUGAGAUCAUGUGACAGCUUCUGGCCAACAGACUGUAAGUCGAUGUGCCAGGAGUCGCUGACUGUCUUCUUCACCUGCUGCAUCCACAGUAAGAGGCCUUGUCUCCAUGGUGGAACCACCAGAAACAGCCUGCGUUCCUGAGCCCCUGCUGAAAACAAGGUGCCCUGGAGGACCCUCGGAGCCACAGUGGACUUUGCAUGAGUGCCAGGAUGGGCCAACUCAUGGACACAAAGGGAACAGGCAGAGCCCAUUGCAAACCGAGUGCAGCUGAUUCGUGGAUGGCAAUGCAGGAGGCGGGAAUGUUUAAGUAAUCAUAACAACAAUAACGCCAGCAAAAAAAUGCCUCCAGUGACUUCUCAGUACAAGGAACUGUUCUCCCAACAGACCACGGAUGUGCUUUUUAAACUCUGUUAAAGGUAAAAUCAGCUGGUGGGGUUAAAU
This is a non-coding RNA of Vicugna pacos (alpaca), 4279 nucleotides long. The record is from RefSeq and is a predicted model, not a curated record. NCBI's taxonomy places the organism in Eukaryota, Metazoa, Chordata, Mammalia, Artiodactyla, Camelidae.